AGUGAACGCUGGCGGUAGGCCUAACACAUGCAAGUCGAACGGCAGCACAGUAAGAGCUUGCUCUUACGGGUGGCGAGUGGCGGACGGGUGAGGAAUACAUCGGAAUCUACUUUUUCGUGGGGGAUAACGUAGGGAAACUUACGCUAAUACCGCAUACGACCUACGGGUGAAAGCAGGGGAUCUUCGGACCUUGCGCGAUUGAAUGAGCCGAUGUCGGAUUAGCUAGUUGGCGGGGUAAAGGCCAACCAAGGCGACGAUCCGUAGCUGGUCUGAGAGGAUGAUCAGCCACACUGGAACUGAGACACGGUCCAGACUCCUACGGGAGGCAGCGGUGGGGAAUAUUGGACAAUGGGCGCAAGCCUGAUCCAGCCAUACCGCGUGGGUGCAGAAGGCCUUCGGGUUGUAAAGCCCUUUUGUUGGGAAAGAAAAGCAGCAGGUUAAUACCCCGCUGUUCUGACGGUACCCAAAGAAUAAGCACCGGCUAACUUCGUG
This 492-nucleotide ribosomal RNA is filed under the name uncultured bacterium. Its description in RNAcentral is "partial 16S ribosomal RNA". It matches the Rfam family "Bacterial small subunit ribosomal RNA", at positions 29 to 507 of the family's 1533-position model. The record is from RNAcentral.